AUCUGGGCGGCGGAAUUCAGGAUGGCUGGCUCGUUCGGCCGUUUGAUGUUUCCGUCGCCGUUGCAGACGUCGCGACCUGUUCGUCGUCGGUCCUUGCUCGGAGGAAUCGCGAUCGAGUUCGUUGCGGGGUGCGUUUCGGCGUGUCUCGCGGCGAAGACGCGGCUCUCUGGCUGACGACGGACAGUAAGCAACGGUGGCCGGCGCGGUGUCUCGCACUCCGCGUCCGGUGCCGGUCAGCGACGAUUUCUUCGGGCCUCUUUCCGACCCGUCUUGAAACACGGACCAAGGAGUCUAACAUGCGCGCGAGUCGCGGGGUGUCGAGCGUGCUACGGUGCGCUCGUUACUUCCGAAACCCGUACGUUGAAGGCGUAAUGAAAGUGAACAGGGAAGAUGGCGUUCCGAGUCCACGAACCGUGAUCGAGUAUCGCGGCCGGGCGCCCGCACUCCCGGGGCGUCUCAAUGGCUCGUCGCGGAUGCGGACGGUCGCCUUUCGGGGCGGCCGUCGGUCUGCGACGGACCGA
This 521-nucleotide ribosomal RNA is filed under the name Diaspis boisduvalii. RNAcentral describes it as "eukaryotic LSU rRNA". The record is from RNAcentral. Lineage: Eukaryota; Metazoa; Arthropoda; Insecta; Hemiptera; Diaspididae.